GUCCACCUACGGGGGGCAGCAGUGAGGAAUAUUGGUCAAUGGACGGAAGUCUGAACCAGCCAUGCCGCGUGCAGGAUGACGGCUCUAUGAGUUGUAAACUGCUUUUGUAUUAGGGUAAACACCCCUACGUGUAGGGGCUUGAAAGUAUAAUACGAAUAAGGAUCGGCUAACUCCGUGCCAGCAGCCGCGGUAAUACGGAGGAUGCGAGCGUUAUCCGGAUUUAUUGGGUUUAAAGGGUGCGUAGGCGGGCUGUUAAGUCAGCGGUCAAAUGUCGGGGCUCAACCCCGGCCUGCCGUUGAAACUGG
This 305-nucleotide ribosomal RNA is filed under the name uncultured bacterium. RNAcentral describes it as "bacterial SSU rRNA". It matches the Rfam family "Bacterial small subunit ribosomal RNA", at positions 333 to 636 of the family's 1533-position model. The record is from RNAcentral.